RNAcentral lists this small RNA (409 nucleotides) under Arabidopsis thaliana (thale cress). RNAcentral describes it as "ATSL156630". The record is from RNAcentral. Lineage: Eukaryota; Viridiplantae; Streptophyta; Magnoliopsida; Brassicales; Brassicaceae.
GUUUUGCUUGAGGGCAAGCAAAAGCUAAGUUUGAGAGAGUUGAUAUACCUCUAUUUUUACUACUUUUAGCUAUGAUUUAGGUAUAGGUUUUAGAGUCUAUUUGUUAUUUCUAUAGUCUUUUGUAGUUCUUUUCAGGUUUUUACAUGUUUGUCAUGCAUUUCGAAAUUAUUGAGCAUUCUGGAGGAAAAAGAGAACUUAUGCUGCAGAAGAAAUCUAGAGACCAAAAAACCACGUAGGUGUCGACCGACACCACCACCGCUGGUGUCGAGUGACACUAAUACCUGACGACAAUUCAAAUACGCAAAAUUAUUGAAGUUUUGAAGAUUUCCAAAUUCGUCCUUGAAAUCUUCCUUAUUUUUAAAGAAGUUCCUGCACGUUUUAGGACAUCUAAUAUAUAUAUAUAUAUAUA